CCGUACACAAAAGCGCAUGUGCUGUGAGCUCGAUGAGUAGGGCGGGACACGUGGUAUCCUGUCUGAAUAUGGGGGGACCAUCCUCCAAGGCUAAAUACUCCUGACUGACCGAUAGUGAACCAGUACCGUGAGGGAAAGGCGAAAAGAACCCCGGCGAGGGGAGUGAAAAAGAACCUGAAACCGUGUACGUACAAGCAGUGGGAGCACAGGUUUACCUGUGUGACUGCGUACCUUUUGUAUAAUGGGUCAGCGACUUAUAUUCUGUAGCAAGGUUAACCGAAUAGGGGAGCCGGAGGGAAACCGAGUCUUAAUUGGGCGUUAAGUUGCAGGGUAUAGACCCGAAACCCGGUGAUCUAGCCAUGGGCAGGUUGAAGGUUGGGUAACACUAACUGGAGGACCGAACCGACUAAUGUUGAAAAAUUAGCGGAUGACCUGUGGCUGGGGGUGAAAGGCCAAUCAAACCGGGAGAUAGCUGGUUCUCCCCGAAAGCUAUUUAGGUAGCGCCUCGUGAAUUCAUCUCCGGGGGUAGAGCACUGUUUCGGCUAGGGGGCCAUCCCGGCUUACCAACCCGAUGCAAACUGCGAAUACCGGAGAAUGUUAUCACGGGAGACACACGGCGGGUGCUAACGUCCGUCGUGAAGAGGGAAACAACCCAGACCGCCAGCUAAGGUCCCAAAGUCAUGGUUAAGUGGGAAACGAUGUGGGAAGGCCCAGACAGCCAGGAUGUUGGCUUAGAAGCAGCCAUCAUUUAAAGAAAGCGUAAUAGCUCACUGGUCGAGUCGGCCUGCGCGGAAGAUGUAACGGGGCUAAACCAUGCACCGAAGCUGCGGCAGCGAACGUAUCACCCAAGACAACUUUACGGAGUUGACGAUUGACGGAGCGAAGCGACGUCAAAGCGUUCAUUAAAGUCGAGUUGGCUUAGGGAUACGUUCGUUGGGUAGGGGAGCGUUCUGUAAGCCUGUGAAGGUGUGUCGUGAGGCAUGCUGGAGGUAUCAGAAGUGCGAAUGCUGACAUAAGUAACGAUAAAGCGGGUGAAAAGCCCGCUCGCCGGAAGACCAAGGGUUCCUGUCCAACGUUAAUCGGGGCAGGGUGAGUCGACCCCUAAGGCGAGGCCGAAAGGCGUAGUCGAUGGGAAACGGGUUAAUAUUCCCGUACUUGGUGUUACUGCGAAGGGGGGACGGAGAAGGCUAUGUUGGCCGGGCGACGGUUGUCCCGGUUUAAGCGUGUAGGUGUGUGUUCCAGGUAAAUCCGGUUCACUUUAACACUGAGGCGUGAUGACGAGGCACUACGGUGCUGAAGCAACAAAUGCCCUGCUUCCAGGAAAAGCCUCUAAGCAUCAGGUAACAUCAAAUCGUACCCCAAACCGACACAGGUGGUCAGGUAGAGAAUACCAAGGCGCUUGAGAGAACUCGGGUGAAGGAACUAGGCAAAAUGGUGCCGUAACUUCGGGAGAAGGCACGCUGACACGUAGGUGAAGUGAUUUACUCA
Molecule: ribosomal RNA, 1488 nt
Filed under: Salmonella enterica subsp. enterica
Lineage: Bacteria; Pseudomonadati; Pseudomonadota; Gammaproteobacteria; Enterobacterales; Enterobacteriaceae
Description: partial 23S ribosomal RNA
Rfam family: Bacterial large subunit ribosomal RNA
Source: RNAcentral